CACUGCCGAGAAAAGCCUCUAGAUAGAAAAUAGGUGCCCGUACCGCAAACCGACACAGGUAGUCAAGAUGAGAAUUCUAAGGUGAGCGAGCGAACUCUCGUUAAGGAACUCGGCAAAAUGACCCCGUAACUUCGGGAGAAGGGGUGCUCUUUAGGGUUAACGCCCAGAAGAGCCGCAGUGAAUAGGCCCAAGCGACUGUUUAUCAAAAACACAGGUCUCUGCUAAACCGUAAGGUGAUGUAUAGGGGCUGACGCCUGCCCGGUGCUGGAAGGUUAAGAGGAGUGGUUAGCUUCUGCGAAGCUACGAAUCGAAGCCCCAGUAAACGGCGGCCGUAACUAUAACGGUCCUAAGGUAGCGAAAUUCCUUGUCGGGUAAGUUCCGACCCGCACGAAAGGCGUAACGAUUUGGGCACUGUCUCAACG
This 422-nucleotide ribosomal RNA is filed under the name Staphylococcus aureus. RNAcentral's name for it is "partial 23S ribosomal RNA". It matches the Rfam family "Bacterial large subunit ribosomal RNA", at positions 1603 to 2026 of the family's 2925-position model. The record is from RNAcentral. Lineage: Bacteria; Bacillati; Bacillota; Bacilli; Caryophanales; Staphylococcaceae.